Molecule: transfer RNA, 65 nt
Filed under: Marmarodeceia marmorata
Lineage: Eukaryota; Metazoa; Arthropoda; Insecta; Diptera; Lauxaniidae
Description: tRNA-Ser
Source: RNAcentral
AAGUAUGGAGCUCAAGAAAAAGCUGCUAAGCUUUUAUCUUUAAUGGUUAAAUUCCAUUUAUACUU